Molecule: non-coding RNA, 344 nt
Organism: Leptonychotes weddellii (Weddell seal)
Lineage: Eukaryota; Metazoa; Chordata; Mammalia; Carnivora; Phocidae
Source: RefSeq, a predicted model, not a curated record
AGAAGUAAGAGAGAUCAAAACAUGAGAAGGACUCAGUUGUCACUGCUGGUGUGAAGAUGGACAAACCACACAAGAUGGCAUGAUGGUGACUUCUAGGAGCUAAGGCAGUCCCCAGGAAAUAGCAGACCCAGAAAUGGGGACCUCCGAUCUAAAGCCACAGGAAAACAGAUUGAAGAGGACCCUCACCAAAACCUAGAUGGUACCGACACCCUGAUCUUGGACUGAUCUUGGACUUCCAGCCUCCAGAACUAAGCUGAGCUCCUACCCUCACACAGAGACUAGAAGCCGGAAGCUCUAUCUUUCUUAAGGAUUACCUUACAAAAGGAUGGACACAAGUUCCUGGG